GAAAAAACGGGCAGCACUGACAGAUCUCACUCUAACAAGCAUCGGGUCAAGUGAUUCUGAUAAAGACAAGCAUACCUCAGAAAAGGCCAGCAAGGGCUCGGCCGGUGUGGAAGAAUUGGCCAGGCUUGAGUGCAGCCUUGGGGAAAUGAGCAUUGGUGAGGAGG
Molecule: non-coding RNA, 164 nt
Organism: Paramisgurnus dabryanus
Lineage: Eukaryota; Metazoa; Chordata; Actinopteri; Cypriniformes; Cobitidae
Source: RefSeq, a predicted model, not a curated record